This is a long non-coding RNA of Patella vulgata (common limpet), 331 nucleotides long. RefSeq lists it as uncharacterized. Lineage: Eukaryota; Metazoa; Mollusca; Gastropoda; Patellidae. The record is from RefSeq and is a predicted model, not a curated record. The transcript is spliced from 3 exons.
CGAGGCUUUUAAAGGUACGCCUGGAUUUAAAGAAAUCGAAGUGCUGGGAUUUAAAGCAGGAAGUAUCAUAUGUGAUUAUAAAGCUGUAUUUGAUUUACUUGAAACCAAUGAAAACACAACAAAAGAAAUUAAUACAACUGUUCUAGCGAAGAUUAAUAAUAUUACUACCCUACCAGCACCUGUUGAUACGAUCUACACAAAUCAACAAAUUUACUCUUUUAUCAAAUCAGAUGCUGUACAGAGCCUAAAGAAUCCAUGCUACAAUGCCUGUCCUGAUGGUAGUCACUGUACCAGAACUUCAGGUAAUGUAACGUGUCAUGAUAACUGUGAG